RNAcentral lists this unclassified non-coding RNA (200 nucleotides) under soil metagenome. Its description in RNAcentral is "partial contains internal transcribed spacer 2 and large subunit ribosomal RNA". The record is from RNAcentral.
UCGGCUCACUUGAAAUUUAUUAGCUGAAUCCUCUAGUGUUGGUUCUACUCGACGUGAUAAGAUCUCCGUCGAGGACAGUGCUCCUUGUGGGCGUUGGCCACCGCUAGCUGUUGAUACGCUCCUAAUUAGCGCAGACUUCGAGUGCUGGCAACUUUUGACAACUUGGCCUCAAAUCAGGUAGGACUACCCACUGAACUUAA